RNAcentral lists this ribosomal RNA (336 nucleotides) under Triticum aestivum (bread wheat). RNAcentral's name for it is "partial small subunit ribosomal RNA". Lineage: Eukaryota; Viridiplantae; Streptophyta; Magnoliopsida; Poales; Poaceae. The record is from RNAcentral.
AUGAGAGGGUUCGAGAGGAGAGACGUCCGGCAGUACAACCGGUCCGACGAGCCACGGAUGCGGUGGACGGAGGAGCUGCACCGGCAGUUCAUCGAGGCCGUCGACUGCCUCGGCGGCCAGGACGAGGCAACACCAAAGCGAAUUCUUCAGCUGAUGGGCACAAAGGGGGUCAGCAUAUCUCACAUCAAGAGCCAUCUUCAGAUGUAUAGGUCAAGCUCUAGCAACAACAACAACAACAAUAACCCACCCCACAUGUCAGUGAAUCGUUGCCAUGAUCAUUGCAUCGAUGGCAACAACACAAGAACAGCGUCUUCAGACAGGAUCAACGCUCCCUCU